RNAcentral lists this long non-coding RNA (609 nucleotides) under Nicotiana benthamiana. Its description in RNAcentral is "long non-coding RNA (NBEN_LNC032083)". Lineage: Eukaryota; Viridiplantae; Streptophyta; Magnoliopsida; Solanales; Solanaceae. The record is from RNAcentral.
CCAUAUCUGUUGUUAAGUUGACUCCAAAUACUCUGAGCAGUGUCAGAGUAUUGGACAAUCUCUGCUAUCUCAGGAGUAAGAGAAUUUGUGAGCCACGAAAUGACCAUAUUGUUGCAUCUAUCUCACUGUCUAAAUUGAGGAGAAUUUUCAGGAGGCUUAGGCACAGAACCAUCGAUGAAACCUAGUUGGUUUCUAGCGGACAAAGAAACUAUUACGUUUCUCCUCCAUCCCCCAAAACCAACCCCUGAGAACAGAUUGGUAACCAAGGAUACUCCGGGAACAUCGGAUGAUAUAAGGAAUAAAGGGUUUGUGGGACUAGGAACAAAAGUAGUAGGCACAGAGGAAGAAUCAUCAUCGUUUUCUACCAUUUUUAACUACUGAUGAUGUUUAAAACACAACAAACCAACAGAUCGUAACUACAACAAACGACUAUCACAGACUCUAACCAAAAACAACAAAAAAUACAGUCUAUGAUAUUUACACAACAGAUAACAAGUUUUACAACAAAAAAUAUGAAUGAUUUACGAAAAAACUAACCGAAUCGAAAAAAAACCUAACUUCUGAGAAUCAACAGAAACAUGGAUGGAAAUGGCUGAGGGUAACACCGAU